RNAcentral lists this ribosomal RNA (200 nucleotides) under uncultured bacterium. RNAcentral describes it as "partial 16S ribosomal RNA". It matches the Rfam family "Bacterial small subunit ribosomal RNA", at positions 30 to 234 of the family's 1533-position model. The record is from RNAcentral.
AUUGAACGCUGGCGGCAGGCCUAACACAUGCAAGUCGAGCGCGAAAGUUCUUCGGAAUGAGUAAAGCGGCGGACGGGUGAGUAAUACAUGGGAAUCUGCCUGGUAGUGGGGGACAACGUUUCGAAAGGAACGCUAAUACCGCAUACGCCCUACGGGGAAAGGGGGGAGUCUUCGGACCUCUCGCUAUCAGAUGAGUCCAU